Molecule: ribosomal RNA, 497 nt
Filed under: uncultured bacterium
Lineage: Bacteria
Description: partial 16S ribosomal RNA
Rfam family: Bacterial small subunit ribosomal RNA
Source: RNAcentral
GAUGAACGCUGGCGGCGUGCCUAAUACAUGCCAGUCGAGCGAACAGACGAAGAGCUUGCUCCUCUGACGUUAGCGGCGGACGGGUGAGUAACACGUGGAUAACCUACCUAUAAGACUGGGAUAACUUCGGGAAACCGGAGCUAAUACCGGAUAAUAUAUUGAACCGCAUGGUUCAAUAGUGAAAGACGGUUUUGCUGUCACUUAUAGAUGGAUCCGCGCCGCAUUAGCUAGUUGGUAAGGUAACGGCUUACCAAGGCAACGAUGCGUAGCCGACCUGAGAGGGUGAUCGGCCACACUGGAACUGAGACACGGUCCAGACUCCUACGGGAGGCAGCAGUAGGGAAUCUUCCGCAAUGGGCGAAAGCCUGACGGAGCAACGCCGCGUGAGUGAUGAAGGUCUUCGGAUCGUAAAACUCUGUUAUUAGGGAAGAACAAAUGUGUAAGUAACUAUGCACGUCUUGACGGUACCUAAUCAGAAAGCCACGGCUAACUACGUG